GGUUCAUGUCCUGAUUAACCUAUAUCUAAUUGCGCUUCGUCUAUACCGCCGUAGUACGCUCGUAUUGCAUCCUGCAAGUAUGGAAGAUACAUAACGUGUCAUAUUAGACAUGAUUGCAUUUUUACCUUAAGACACCCCCUGGCAAUUUCAUGCUCAAGCGGGAGAAAAAUAGGUUGCUUCUUAUCUCAUUCUUGACUUCCAUUACAGGCCAGAUUUUGAAUGUACGUGUGGCAAACCGUGACCGGCCUUGGGCCAAUGUGAAAAUUAAAUGAAACUUUAUUUUCACUGAAGCGACCCUCUAUUUCAAAUAGAACAGAAUUUUGAGCGACCAGAAAUGUUCGCAUGACUAAAAGCAUUAAUUUUUUGCAGUUAAACGUACAAAUAUUAGUAUUGUUAGAGCAGGUAUUUAAUGCAUGCUAUUUUUUCCAUUCAUAAAUUCGAUUGUCCCAUUUACCGAAAUAUUUGUCCAUCUCAUUGCUUAACUUUAUAUCGAAUUGUUUGAGGCAAUUGCUUUCAAAAAUAUCUUUAUUCUACAAAAAUUAAGUAUUUUCUGCCAUUUUUCUCCGCAUUGUUUUUAUGAAAACUGUUAACUACAACUGUACUGUUUCGCAACAAUUUCUAUAGUUACUUUUUAGUUUUCUUAAAAUAUGAAAGGUCGAUCAAUUUUUUACUGUGAUAACUUCACAAAGCUUUCUUCUAAUGCAUUGCACUUUACACAAAGAAAUCCCCAACAGUCUCUAAAGCACUAUACAUUCAUGGACAAACGAUACAAGAAAAGAAAAUCCACGAUAGCUUUUCGUAGUCAUCAGUUAUUUCGGAUUUCUAAGUUCCAUCAUAAUAUUAUAACAAUCAAACGAGGUCCUGUUUUGCAAUAACAGUAGGCACAUAAACCUAAUUGGAUAAAACUAUUGUUGUCUCAUAAAUGUGCACCUAUUACAGAAUGACAAAUGACAAAGAGCGAUCUUCCUGGCUGCCAUUUGGGAGAGGAAAAAUAAAAAAACUUUCAAAAAGUUUAUACUACUAGAGAAAGCGCAAGACUGCUAUUUUCAUGUCAGCUAAUGCUGUAAAGCCAUCAAAAGCCAUCGUGCUAGGGUGGCCAGUGACAUAAAGACAUCUUCCUUAAAUUGUUGAUAAGCCAGGUUUUAAGAAAUGCGAAUACAGUAUUCUCUCCAAUUAGCGGACACCGUCCGGGCAAGAGCAAGGUGUCAGCUAAUUGGAAGUGUCCACCUUUUUGAAAUUUUUGCAAUGUAAGUCUCAAAUUUGAAAAAUGACCCGAGCUUUGCAUAUAAAGGGUGUAAUCAGUGGUGGCGCCAGGAGAGGGCUAGGGAGGGGGGCUACAGCCCCUCCGUCGGAAGCAUCUAGCCCCCCAUCGGAGGAGAUUUUGGGUUAUUGUCGGAAACUGCAUAUUUUAGUCAUUUUAGCCCCUCUGUCGGAAGAUUUCUUGCGCCACCUCUGGGUGUAAUCUGGGUAAUUAGUAGCUAUUGGGUUUAACUUAGACUCUAAAAAAAGAAAAAAUAACCAAAAUGAUAUUUUCAACAAGAAUAUAUAUCAGCAUCAUAUGUAAUAUCAACUAACGAGGGCAAAAUUUGCAAGUAAAUGUUUAUUUACCAUACUGUAUGUUUUUGCUUAAAAGAGUCGUUAAUUGAUUGCUGUUCUUUGUUGUUGACACGAAUAAUUUCUAGUCUCUCUUUAAGUGAGGACAAAGAAGCUCUUUCCUCACUAUUGAGAUCUUUCAAGUUUAUCAAUUUAUCAAUCAUUGUCAAUGCUUUCCUCAUCUUUGUCACUGUCAUCAGACGAAACCUCUUCUACCUCUUCUACUCCAGAUUCUUUCCGGAGAUAUUCACCAACUUAUUUUCUACUGAAUUUGCUCUCCAACCUACUUUAUCAGAGUUGAUUUCAAAAACAGAAGUGCACAUUUCGACAUCAAUAUACUCUUCAGCAGUUAUUUCAGAUUCUGUAAGUUCUUUGAAAAGCUCUUUGAAUUCAUCAUUGACAAUAUCAUCUUCAAUUUCACAGGAUUCCUUAUUAAAACCACAUUUAGCAAAGCAGUUUUUGAUUUUUUCAACAGUAACCUCUUCCCAAGCAUUAGCCACCCUUUCAAUGGCUUGUAAAACAUCAAUUUUGUUUGUAAUUUCUGAUGCUAGAAAGUCAUAAUAAUAAUAAUAAUAAUAAUAAUAAGAGGAAUAUUUAUACAGGGUAGAGCCUUGUCAAUACUACGGGGUAUUGUUGUCAAUAAGGACCCUGUUUGAAAGAAGAAAAUAUGUAACUCAUCAAGAAUACAUAAUACAAAGUAAAAGCGUAUUUUUUUCAUAACUACGAUUUGUUUCCGCCUUUGCUUUUGUUUCCUUUCUGAGCCAAACCUUUGGUAGGCAAAGCUUUAAAAAAAACACCCAGUCUCAUCCAUAUUUAUUAUAUCUUUAUCCUCAUAUCCUUUGCAGAGGUCUUGUACUCUUUCCAUCCAAGAUUCAAUUGUAAUCGUAGAGACAUCGAGAGACUCACCAGAGAUUUGUUUUUCCUUUAUACCAUGACUCAAUUUCCAUUUAUCAAGCCAGCCCUCUGAUGCCUUGAAACCAUCCAGUCCUGGACGGUUCAAAGAUUUUUUGAUAUUCAUUGCUUCUUCUUUGAGUAUAUGCCUAAUUACAUAGAUACCAGAUGCCUCACAUUUUUUAACCAAAAGUAAAGAAUUUCAUUGAUUGCUUUGAACUUUUGAUGGCUUCUCUGUUAACAUGUUUGAAACCCUUGCCGUGAAAGCUCUGCACUUUUUCUCAUCUUGCAAAACGUUGGCUGCUUCUCUUCCCAAUAUUGUAUAUUUUAGAAAUCUCUCUGUAACUCAUUUUGUUCUUUUUAUUUCCAUCUAAAAUUUUUAUGUUUUCAUCAAAUCAGAGGUGUCCGCCUCUUAGAGUGUCGGUUAAUUGGAGAGAAUACUGUAAACUGCCUUGUAUGCUUUUGUAGGUAUCUUACACGUAAGCCCCUGUGCCUUAGAGGUCACAUGAUGCAUCAUGCCAGGUAUGAAAUUUAUCGGAUCCAACUAUCUGUAAAAUUUAUGUUUAAGAACAGAUGUACUUAUGAAUUAGUGAGAAGAGUAAAAGUGUAGAAGUCAAAUGUAUGCUUGUCGGGAACUCACAACCACAAUCAUUCAGUUUGUUGCGAAUUUUGCUUUGUUUUAUUUUUAUAAGGGUAAGGGACUAGAGUUCUUCCUAUACAGGUGUAUUGGUGCCGAAGAAUAGAGACAAAAGAUGCAAACGCUGGUGUGAAAUUUUCUUGAUUCUUAUAUGUGCAUUCUUUUAUAGGACGAGUGUGAUAUGCGUGUUAUUUGACUGUCUUACACCGCUUUGUCUUCCUUCUACAACUUCACUUUCUACUUUGCUUCAUCUUGGUUUUUAUGUAUUUUCUGCGAUACAGUUCAGCGAAGCGUUAACAUAACAUUCUUGCAGCGCGUACAGUAUUACUGGUGUUUUCAUUUCUAAGAAUUACAUACUGUGAAAAACACACCUGAAAAUAAAUGAUCGGAAGACUAGUACCUGUCUUUUCUAACCGGUUACCGCUAGGUAUAAGGUUGCUAACCAACCGUAUAAGGUACCACGUGAAUAUACUUAGGGCGUGCAUUUCUCCAUGCAAAAAAAUUGUGUUACAUACAUAUAGCACUUUACCAAAUACCAAAAUCUUAAUACCCACAACAAUCAAAGCGAGUACAAAAAUAGACAUCUCAUAAGAACUGUGUUUGGCAGUCGGAAAGUUAUCAAGUUUACAUCUUUCGUGAGCUGCGGCGUUGCCUCUGGAAAUGACCUAUAACCUCACAACAAUCGGUCAUAUUUAGACAGGUGGCAGCUCCUGAAAUAUCAGCCCCGUUUACACGAUACCAGACUCGCUUCAUAUCGGAUUCGUUUCAUACCAGAUAGGCCUUCUGUUUGCACGAUGAGGACGCAAUCCGAUAGGCUAUCGUUCGGCUUUUGUGGAGUGAAAUCACUCCGCUACGAAAUUGGUAUGAAACCAAUCCGAUAUGUACCGGAUUCGGUAAAGUGCUCGUGUAAACGCUCGAAUCCGGUAUCAAUUUGCUCCGCAACCUCAGUUACAAUCCCUGUGGCCUCAACUCCACGUUUGGCACGUUUUUUAACAAAUUGUAGUUUCAUUAGUAAGAAAACAAGAUGAAUGCUGAUAAAGAGAAAUUGUUCUUUACCACAGUGAUUGGUCUUGCACACACUUUUCAGAGAAAAAGCCAUCUCAUGGAUCUUUUUUCAAGAUAUUUCUUAUCUUUAAGAAGACUUCACACUUCCCCAUUCUUUCCCCUUGAAUUGAAAACUCGCUGCAUGCGAUUUCACGGUCUCUAGCAACAGCUCAAUUUCUUGCUCAGUCCAGGAAAAAUUUCUUCCUUAAGUUUCUUCCCUGCUCCCGCCAUUUUUCUGUUUCAGUGACUCUCUUCAGUGCCCAGGUGGCAGGUAAUAUUUUGGCGCGACUCAAAUACCAACGCAGAGGCCCCUAAACAAAACACUACACCCCGCAGUGCGGAGUUACUUCUAUCGUGUAAACAGGAGCCCUGUCUGGUAUAAAACCAAUCCGAUACGGUGCAGCGAAUCCGAUAUGAAUUGAAUCCGGUAUCGUGUAAACGCUCAGUGUCAAUAUUGAAGGCAAGAGGACGUAGAGAAACAUGAACAAGCCACCUCCAUUGAUAAUCCAAACCGAAGCAUUUAACUUAUACAUAACGUACAGUUAUGCUUUGUUCGGACUUGGAGGAUUCCUUGUCAACAUAGCAAUGCUCAUCGUGUUACGACGUGAUAAAAGAAGUGAAUCAACUUUUAAUAAAACUAUGGCCAGCCUUGGUAUCGCUAACAUGUUGAUGGGCUUGAUUUUCUCAACUGCUGGGUUUUUGAUCGUGUCCAAGUAUGAAAAUGAUAUCUUCCUCAUGGCUCUUUGGUAUGCCAAGGAGUGCGUACUGUCAGCAUCGAUCUUCCAUCUUGUGUUCAUUGCCAUUCAAAGAUUGGCUGCUGUGCUAUUUCCAUUGAGAUUCAAGGUUUUUUUCACGCCAAAAAUGGCUGCAAUCCUACUGGUUGCUGUCUGGAUUGUUUCCAUCCUGUUCUUAGUAUGCGUUAUGCUGCCAAUAACCAACGCCAAACUCAACCGGCCAUACUUUCCUCCCAUUGCAUAUGCCACAUUGUUGACUGGGAUAGUCCUUCUAAUGUGUUACAUUGCAAUGCUGUACCGACUGCUUCAUUUAAAGAGAUUCAGGUCUGAAUCUUCAAACGCUGAUCAACGGUCCAUUCUCAGCUUUAGGCUUUUCUUCAACUCGUUUGGAGUCACCUUGGUUUUUAUCCUACUUGCAUUCCCAUUUGCAGUAAGCGUCAUAGAGAAUAAGAAGCUUCGGCAUUGGUCGGAACCUUUCGCGAUGUUUUUUGCAAUAAAAACAAUGGCAGAUCCAACGGUAUACUUCUUCAUUUCGAAAUGCAGUUGUGAACGUGUGACGAGGCGUGUAAGACAUGGACAGUCAGGAUCAUCGAGCAAGGUCACCGAGGAGGACAUUGUUACACCAAGGCAGGUAUUGAAUCAAACAACUCAUCUGUAAUAAGCGCUGACCGUAACGAAUCAUGAUAUCGUGUAUCGUAAUUUCAAGCCGACUAGUUGUAAAAGUAAACUGCAAGAGAUAAAGGUUUAUCUGCACAGAAAGUAUGAAAUGAGUUCGGGAGAUGUCGAAAAUUUCAUCAAUAUAUUGUGGAAGGAGUUUUCCCAAUCACUACCAAUAUUGUAGCACCAUUGGCACCUCUAGUUCAAUAGAAGUUUGGAACUCUGUUGUAUUUUCAUCGUUUUGAUAGCUGCUUUAUUGGUUGUUUGGACAUUUCUUCUGUCUUGGGUUGUUGCUGGGGCAGCAAUUGGGGCAGGAGGCAGUGGCUGACUGUUUGCGGUUGGGGGUGCUGCCUGCUUUCUUUCUUGUCCUUCUGUCGUAUAUAUAUGUACCUGUGUUAUGUAUUUUUUCUUUCUUUUAUUCUUUAGACGCUGUUGUUAAGCUUCUUUUUCAAAAGGCACUCAGUAUAAUAGUAGACGAGGAAAUUUUUGCCCAAACUUUGAUGUCAAUAACAAGUACAAAUAUCUGAUGGCAACUGCGUAUGAAAAUUGUGACACUCAGAGUAACUUGUAUUUAAACGCCAACGAGCUGUAAUCUCUAUUCUAUCAAAUGCAAAAAUAUCUGUUGCAUUAAUUCUAUGAAUUGCAUUCAUUAGAUAAAAGUUCAUUUUGAAUGUAACAACACCUCAAGUCUCAAUAGCUAUUGAGGAAAACGAUGACAAACCAGGUCAAUGAAGACAAACUGGUCCAAUAUAUUUAUGACCAACGUCCCGAGAUCACUAGCCUAGAUCACUAUGUGUCUAUGAUCACUAUGUGUCUAUGGCCAACGUCCUGAGAUCACUAUGUGUCUAUGGCCCCGGGGUAGUCAUAGUCUUUUGCUCCUCGGGGUAUCGUCCGAGUAGUAUUGUAAAGUAAAUUUGUAAGUAGCGUAGCUUGUAUUUAUGUAUUGUAACUUUUUAAUGGAUACAUAUAAAAAAGAUCACUAGCCAACCGUUUAAUCUUAGAUUCAAGUGUAACGUGAAUGUACUUAGGCCGUGCACUUCCCCAUGAAAGAAAAUUGUGCUACAUAUUUACCUGUAUAGAUUCAUGUUAGGUGCUCUACUUAGUCUUCUAACGCUUUACCAAACACCAAAAUCCCAACACUCCCAAUAAUCAAAGCGACUACAAAAAUAGACAGCUCAUAAGAACAGUGUUUGGCAGUCGGAAAGUGAUCAAGUUUACAUCUUUAGUGGGCUGCGGCGUUGCCUGUAGAAACGACAUAUAACGUCACAACAAUCGGUCAUAUCUAGGCAGGUUGCAGCUCCUGAAACAUCAGUGUCAAUAUUGAAGGCAAGAGGUCGUAGAGAAACAUGGACGAGCCACCUCCAUUGAUACUCCAAACCGAAGCAUUUAAUUUAUACAUAACGUACAGUUAUGCUUUGUUCGGACUAGGAGGAUUCCUUGUCAACAUAGCAAUGCUCAUCGUGUUGCGACGUGAUAAAAGAAGUGAGUCAACUUUUAAUAAAACCAUGGCCAGCCUUGGUAUCGCUAACAUGCUAAUUGGCUUGAUUUUCUCAACUGCUGGGUUUUUAAUGGUAUCUAAGUAUGAAAAUGAUAGCUUCUUCAUGGCUCUUUGGUAUGUCAAGGAAUGCGUACUGUCAGUAUCGAUCUUCCAUCUUGUGUUCAUUGCCAUUCAAAGAUUGACUGCUGUGCUAUUUCCAUUGAGAUUCAAGGUUCUUUUCACGCCAAAAAUGGCUGCAAUCCUACUGGUUGCUGUGUGGAUUGUUUCCAUCCUGUUUUUAGUAUGCGUUAUGCUGCCAAUAACCAACGCCAACCUCGACCUGCCAAGUUUUCCUCCCAUUGCAUAUGCCACAUUGUUGACUGGGAUAGUCCUUCUAAUGUGUUACAUUGCAAUGCUGUACCGACUGCUUCAUUUAAAGAGAUUCAGGUUUGAAUCUUCAAACGCCGAUCAACGGUCCAUUCUCAGCUUUAGGCUUUUCUUCAACUCAUUUGGAGUCACCUUGGUUUUUAUCCUACUCGCAUUCCCAUUUGCAGUAAGCGUCAUAGAGAAUAACAAGCUUCGGCACUGGUCGACACUUUUCGCGACGUUUUUUGCAAUAAAAACAAUGGCAGAUCCAACGGUAUACUUCUUCAUUUCGAAAUGCAGUUGUGAACGUGUGACGAGGCGUGUAAGAAAUGGACAGUCAGGAUCAUCGAGCAAGGUCACCGAGGAGGACAUUGUUACACCAAGGCAGGUAUCGAAUCAAACAACUCAUCUGUAAUAAGCGCUGACCGUAACGAAUCAUGAUAUCGUGUAUCGUAAUUUCAAGCCGACUAGUUGUAAAAGUGAACUGUAAGUUGACAAGACUAAGAAGUUAAGUAAGAGAAAGAUACAUCUGUACAAAAAGUAUGAAAAAUGUGUUUUGAAGGUGUCCGAGAAUUCUUCAAUAUAUGGUGGAAGGAAUCUUUGCCCCACCUUGGUGUCAAUAACAAGUACAAAUAUCUGGUAGCAGCUACGUGAAAAAGUAAUGACACUAAGGCAAGGGUAACUUGUAAAUUAUUGUCAACAAACUGUGAUCUCAAUUCUAUCAAUUGCAAAAAUUCUAUCAAAUACAUUCACGAGAUUCGAUUUCAUAUGACUACAUCUCAAGGCUCAAUAGCUGUGGAGAAAAACUAUGAUAAACCAAGUCAAACUGUCAGUUUCCUCUACAGCCAUCUUAACAUUUCUAAAGCUCAUCUUAACAUACAAUAAUUCUACUUUGGAAAAAACUACGUGCCAAUUAAAGGCUGCACGAUUUUUGUAUAUUUACGCGCGAUUGUUUCAAGAGAAUUUCAUGAACUAUUUUAUAAUCUAACAUUGUUACUCUUUGCAACCUUAUUCCUGGUAUGCAAAUGAUAUUUUCAUGGCUGGGACGCUGGGACAGCAUUUAGCAUUAAUUUGAUGACUUCUUCAUUUCAACGCGAAGCGCAGAGAACAUACCAAUACAAUUUGCCCGAGAGUUUUUAGAGAACGAAAUUAACUUCCUUUGUACAACAGUCAGAAGAUAAAAACGCUUUAAAACCAAACUUUUAAAAAAGCCUAAAAAUGAAGAAGGUUAUUCAACCAAGCUUUGAGAUAAUCUUUCUUUGUUAGGAAUAACUUCAAGAUCCUUUGCUCAUACCAGGAAAACUGGUGGAUUUUUAAAUCUGAGUUCUACAACGAUAGGUAGAGCAAUGAAGCUCCAUCUUUCAUGCUCUCGAUUAAGAGUUUCGGAUUUUUUACUGCGUACUUAUUCAAGGGUGUGGCUUAAUAGAAUGAGAAUUUCUUAAAACUACAAUUUAGUAAAAAUGUUCAAGUUUUUCUUUUGUCAACUUUUGCAUGUCAAAAAUUCUGUUAGAAGCACUUUCCACACUUGUGAAAGUUCUUCAUUCAAGAUUUUUACACUAAGCAACUCCAUGUCAAUGUCCUCGUUCUCAUCCUUGACAAAGAGCGGGUAAAUGAAUGGUGCAAAUAAAAGUAGUUAUUUAAUCGAGGAUUGACAACCUUUUUCCUUGACGCAAAGCAAAGAAUCUAUGUUUUGCUAAUGUAAUGUAUAAUGAACAGGUGCUAAAAUUUUCUGUCAGAAAGGACUCGUAAGGACUCGAUCCUUUUUUUGUUGAUUGCCCUGCUAUAGUAAGUAUCUACCAUAGGCACAACAGUAGGGUAAACAAGAUAAGCAAAUCUAUUGCCGCAAAGCAUAAUUUGAUUAAUAUAUAUCUCAAUUUUAUUUCAGAAAAUUGCUUGAUAUUUUCUAUCUAUUAGCAAUUUUAUUAAAAACGACAUGAAAGAAUGAGAAUGAAUAAUUGCACGCACUUCAGGAAAUUUGCAGGUGUGUUUAAGGAGUCUUAUUUAAAUAUCUAUCAAAUUUUUGAUGAAACUUUUGAAUCUUAAGGGCUUUUGAAAACUCUCUUUGAAAGAGGCAGAGAGAUUCGUAAGAUUAGUGGACAGGAAUUUUUUUCCGAAAACAAGUCGCCAGAUUUUCCUGCCGACACAAGACGCUUUGUAAAAAACAAAAGUUUUUCUAGCCUGCGUCUCUCCUCGGCUAUGGUCUAUGACGCAAGCUACUGUUUUUCUAUCACUUCCGUGCAGCAAGGCGUGGUUUGAAAGGGAAAUCUGGAUUUCUUCAAUUUUAAGUAGACUGUUAUCGAUAUCUUUAUUUCAUAACUUCUGCCCUAAAUUAUUUGCCAUUCUAAGAAAUUAAAUUUCGUCGCUGAGAAAAUUAUUGCCGCAUUUUAAAUGAUAUUAUCGCAACAUUCUGAUCUUGCACAACAUGAUGCCCUCGUACAACUCAUAAUUUUUCAUCAUGAAAUGACCGGCAUCAAAUUAGCCGGUAAUAACAUAAUAUUUGCAAUUAAAAUAAAUCAUAAUACAGAGUGCGAUAAGUAAGAAGAGAAAAUGAUUUUCACAACAAAAAAUAUGUUUGUGCGAAGAGGUUUAAUGCUAGAUCCUUUCAUAAUAUUUUACAUGAAUAUUUUUACUGAGCGAACACGCGCUGUAAGUUGUUAACGGCUCUUGAAAUUAAACAAUUUAUUUUGGUAAUGCAUUAAAAAGCUUUUUUUGCAAAUAAAAUCGAUUCAUCUGACAUUCAUUUAUCAGAUGCGAAAGCUGCAAGCAAAUCCAAAACGGCUUUCCAUUUUGAAUCCCUCUAGCCCCUGUGUUCUGUACGUGGCUAGAGAUUUUCAUAGGCCGUUGGGAGGCAUUUUGCUCGUUGACUUCAUUUAAAAAUCGGGCUCUGUUUUGCCAAGCAGAUACUUGUAUCAAGAACAGGAGUAUUUAUGGAUGCAAUAUAGCUAGUUAUUCUACUAUAUUUACAAGUGAUUAUCAGCAAGGAGCUGUUUUGCUUUGGAUCAUCGUACAUUUGUAAGCUAGGCCCACCGUGGUUUGCCUUACCCUAGGCAUAUGCACAAGUCAUUGGAUCGUGUAAGUUCCUGACUUCGAAUAGAAAUACGAUGUUACCACAGCCAGCUACUUCACCUAGAUCAAAAAACUUAUUCAUGGACUUGUCAACUUCAAAGCGGUAUAAAUAUGUGAAAAGGAUUUUUAAAUGGAGACAAAUGGAUUUUGAAUUCGCAUUGUGGCAAAUGGUUUAUCUUUGUUGUGCACCAAGAAGAGUGUACAGAAACUUUCAUUAUCACAAAG
Rhopilema esculentum is the source of this 10690-nucleotide RNA transcript. It is a transcript of the gene named protein unc-50 homolog A, with no coding region annotated. The record is from RefSeq and is a predicted model, not a curated record. Lineage: Eukaryota; Metazoa; Cnidaria; Scyphozoa; Rhizostomeae; Rhizostomatidae.